Molecule: long non-coding RNA, 946 nt
Organism: Helianthus annuus (common sunflower)
Lineage: Eukaryota; Viridiplantae; Streptophyta; Magnoliopsida; Asterales; Asteraceae
Exons: 2
Source: RefSeq, a predicted model, not a curated record
UAGUUCUUUUUCUUCGUUGAUCCCUGAAACCCUUUUCUUGCCCAGGUAAGGGUAUUUUGGUACCAUCUCUCUCUUGUCUCACUCUCAUCCACCACAAUAAUCACCACCGGGCACCACCACUGCCACUGCCAUUCACCACCACAACCACCGCAACUGCCGCCGCCACACAACCAUCCGGAAUGAGACCAAAACGAACCCCAUCUCCCUUUCUUCUUCACCUUUCCACCAGAUCCGCAACCGAUCGUUCUUCUUCUUCGUUGAUCCCUGAAACCCUAAUUUGAACUUUCAGCCACCGAUCGUUCUUCUUCUUCGAUGAUGAUGAUCGAUGAACGGUUAGGAUAUGAUGAUGCUGAAGAAUGGAGAAGGUGAAUGGAGGUGAAUAGUGAUGACAGAGGAGGUUCAAUGGUCGCCGGAGAGGAUGACCGGAGACGGAGAAGGAGCUGUUGGUGACGGAGGGAUCUGAUAUAUUGUCUUGUAUGCGGUUGCUACUUCCGUUUUAUUGGAUCAAUAGAAAUUCAAAUCGGAAGGAAGUUGUAUCUGCAGGGUUUAGGCAGCCCAAAAGAUGAUAGCUUUAAUGAAAAGUUGGAAUUAUUAAUGCUUUAGAAAUUGGAAUUGCCUCACUCAAAGAAAUUCCCAUUGCUUGGGGUUAUAAAUUGCCCCGGUGGAUGUAAAGAGGUUUACUACUGUAGGUAAUUUGAUUAUGGUCUUAUAUUCCCUCUUAGUUAGUUGACCAUCAUCAUUUUUCUAUUUCUUUGAAAAUCAUCAAUUGAAGUUGAUGAAAAUACCCAGGCUUUGUAAAGGCCAAAGAUGUAAAGUUAUACAUUUAGCUCUGGUUAAAUGUGUCGAAUGAUAAAAAAUCACCCAAGUGACCUCAAGUUUUUGCAAUUAUUUGUAGCAAAUGUUGUGCACAUGAUGGUGGUUUAUUUUGCAUGUAUAAAAUUAUAUA